RNAcentral lists this long non-coding RNA (4094 nucleotides) under Ananas comosus (pineapple). RNAcentral's name for it is "long non-coding RNA (ACOM_LNC006223)". The record is from RNAcentral. Lineage: Eukaryota; Viridiplantae; Streptophyta; Magnoliopsida; Poales; Bromeliaceae.
UCUAUAUAUAUAUAUAUAUAUAUAUAUAUAUAUAUAUAGUAGGAGUUGAGCUAGAAUUCUAUCAGUAGCAAACAGGCGCUGCUGCCACCCAUUUGUUUUUUACGAUGGAGCCUCAAAAUCGAUGAUUGGUUCCGUUAAACUUGAUCUAGCAUAUUUGAAGUAUCUAGAAAAUAAAUUUUGUGAUUUUUCGAUAUCAUUUACCUAGCGAUCGAUCAAAAGGGUUCAAAAUCAACGGCUGAAAAUAAAAAUCUCGCAAAAAGUGGGGAUAUAGCAUUAAAAUUUUCGAUCAGAGAUAUUGAUCUUACUGUAAAUAGUAUAAAAAAUUUUCUAUUCAAAUUUCAUCUGAUUUGAAUACUUCUAUACUGUUAAACUUGCAAGCGCUAUACUUCAACCAUUAAAAAUUGUUGAUUUCAAACAUUUUUGAUCGGUAGGUAAAUGAUAUCGAAAAAUCAUAAAAUUUAUUUUCUAGAUAGUUCAAAUAUGUUAGAUCAAGUCUAACGGAGGUGCUUUUGCAAAUAUGCUAUUUUCAUAAAAUUUUUGAUCGGUAGGUGCUUUUGAGUUUUUAGCCAUUAGAUAGAGACAUGUGAGGUUGAGAUGAUGGUAGUAGGUGGUGAUAGGUGGUGGUAGGUGGAAUAGUGUUUGAUCCAAAGGCUAUUAGUAAUCAAGGAGUAGAUCCAAGGGCUAGAACUUAGAAGCACAAAAGNUAUAUAUAUAUAUAUAUAUAUAGAGAGAGAGAGAGAGAGAGAGAGAGAGAGAGAGUUGGUCUUGUGUGCUAUUAAGAGCACAGAGGUCUGCGUGCUCCUAAGCCAUUUUCGAUGAUGGAGCUUCCGAAUCGAUGAUCGGCUCCAUUAGACUUAAUCUAGCGUAUUUGAACAAUCUAGAAAAUAAUUUUUGUGAUUUUUCUGUAUCAUUUUCCUAGUAAUCGAAAGGGUUCAAAAUCAACAAUUUUUAAUGGUCGAUGUAUACCGUUUGCAAGUUUAACGGUGUAGAAAUGUUCAAAUCAGAUGAAAUUUUGAUAGGAAAUUCUUUAUACUAUUUACAGCAAGAUCUAUAUGUUUGAUCGAAAAUUUUCAUGCUAUAUCAGCACUUUUUAUAAGAUUUUUAUUUUCAGCCGUUGAUUUUGAAUUCUUUCAAUCGUUAGGUAAAUGAUAUUGAAAAAUCACAAAAUUUAUUUUCUGAAUACUUCAAAUAUGCUAGAUCAAGUCUAACAGAGCUGACCGUCGAUUCGGAAGCUCCAUUAUCGAAAACGCCUUAGGAGCACGAAGGCCUCCGUGCUCCUAAUAGCACACAAGACCUACUAUAUAUAUAUAUAUAUAUAUAUAUAUAGUUGAGCUAGAAUACUAUCGAUAGCAAACGGGUUCCGUUGCCACCCAUUUGUUUUCGAUGAUGGAGCCUCCAAAUCGACGAUCGGUACUGUUGAACAUGAUCUAUACCACUUGAAGUGUUUAGAAAUCAAAUUUUAUACAUUUUCGAUAUUGUUCUCUUAUCCAUCGAGUGGACACAAAAAUGAACUGCUGAAAAUGAAUAUUCCUUAAAAAAUGAUGAUAGGAGUCUUGUAAUCAAGAUUAAGAGUACAGAUCUUGUUUUAAAUAGUUUAAAAUAUUUUCUAAUAAAAAUUCAAUUGAUUUGGAUAUCUUUACGCCGUUAAACUAGAAAACGUCUCAUACCGACCAUUAAAAUUACAAAUUUUGAAACCCUUUGAUCAUUAGGCAAAUGAUGUCGAAAAGAUUUGAAAUUUAAUUUCUAAACACUUCAAGUGGUAUAGAUCAUAUUCAACAGUGCCGAUCGUCGAUUUGGAGGCUCAAUCAUCGAAAACAAAUAGGUGGCAAUGGAGCCCGUUUGCUAUCGAUAGUAUUCUAGCUCAACUCUCUCUCUAUAUAUAUAUAGUAGGAGUUGAGCUGGAAUACUAUGAAUAGCAAACAGGCUCUGUUGCCACAUAUUUGUUUUCGAUGAUGGAGCCUCCAAAUCGACGAUCGGUAUCGUUGAAAAUGAUCUAUACUAUUUGACAAUGAUCUAUACCGUUGAAAACUCUCUCUCUCUCUCUCUCUCUCUCUCUCUAUAUAUAUAUAUAUAUAUAUAUAUAUAUAUAUAUAGUAGGAGUUGAGCUAGAAUGCUAUCAGAAGCAAACAGAGCACUCCGUGCCACCAAGUUGUUUUCGACGAUGGAACCUCAAAAUCGACGAUCGGCUCCGUUAAACUUGAUCUAGAAUAUUUGAAGUAUCUAGAAAAUAAAUUUCGCGAUUUUUCGAUAUCAUUUACCUAGCGAUCGAUCAAAAGGGCUCAAAAUCAACGGCUGAAAAUAAAAAUCUCACAAAAAAUAAGGAUAUAACAUUAAAAUUUUAGAUCAAAGAUAUUAAUCUUACUGUAAAUAGUAUAAAAAAUUUUCUAUCAAAAUUGCAUCUGAUUUGAAUACUUCUACACCGUUAAACUUGCAAACGGCUACACCACAACCAUUAAAAAUUAUUGAUUUCAAACAUCUUCGAUCACUAGGCAAAUAAUAUCGAAAAAUCACAAAAUUUAUUUUCUAGAUACUUCAAAUACGCUAGAUCAACUCUAACGGAGCCGAUCGUCGAUUGCAAAAAUCCGAACAUCGAAAAAAACUUGGAAGCACGGUAGGUGCUUCCGAGCUUUUAGCCAUUAGAUAGAGACAUACCAGGCCCACAUGAUGCUAGUAGGUGCUGAUAGGUGGUGGUAGGUGGAAAAGCAUGUAUGAUCCAAAGGCUAUGAGUCAAUCAAGGAGCAGACCCAUUUUUCGGCGGAAAAAUUAGCGCCCAUUUUUCUCUUUCCGUACGAAAAAUUUUAAAUAUAAGAAUAAAAAUAGAAAUAGAAACAGCAAUGAAUACGUAAGUUCUCUAUAACAGAUUAUUGAUGUGAAAAUUCUAAAAUAUAAAUUUUUCUAUUUAAUUUCAAAAGUAAAUUUUCUAUAACAGAUUACGGGUAUGAAAAUCCUAUAAAAGAUAUUUUUCUAUUUUAUUUUAAAAUAUCUUUUUUAGAUAUUAUCUAUUUAAUUUCAAAAUAUAUUUUCUUUUAAAGAUAACUGAUUUUAUUUUUCUAUUUAAUUUCAAAAGUAAUUUUUGCAUUAGAGAUUAUUGUUAAUUAUUUAUCAUUUAAAGCAUAUCUUUGUUAAUAGCGUGAUUUAUUAUUUUAAAUUUUUUAGAUACAUAUUUGGCAAUCAUAUAAAAUAUGGCCUAAAAUUAAAAAAUAAUUUAAAAAAAUUAUAACUUUUUCUAAUAAUUAUUACGUGCAUUUGCACGUACAUUUUACUAGUAUAUAUAUAUAUAUAUAUAUAUAUAUAUAUAUAUAUAUAUAUAUAUAUAUAUAUUGAGUUGAGCUAGAAUACUCCCAAAAGCACCAAAGAGCUGGUGCUUUUAAGUUUUUAGCCUUUGGAUGGAGAGAUGUAGGAUUGUGAUAAUCAUGGUAGGUAGUGGUAGGUGGAAUAGUGUUUGAUCCAAAGGCUAUUAGUAAUUAAGGAGUAGAUCCAAGAAUUAGAAAUUUAGAAGUACCAUGAAAUUGAUGCUUCUAAAAGUAUUCUACCUCAAUUAUAUAUAUAUAUAUAUAUAUAUAUAUAUAUAUAUAUAUAGAGAGAGAGAGAGAGAGAGAGAGAGAGAGAGUUGAGCUGGAAUACAAUCGGUACCGUUGAAAAUGAUCUAUACCACUUGAAGUAUCUAGAAAUCACAUUUCAUGUUUUUCCGAUAUUGUUCUCUUGUUCAUCAAGUGGGCGUAAAAAUGAACGGCUGAAAAUGAAUAUCCUCUAAAAAGUGAUGAUAGAAAUUUUGUAAUUAAGAUCGAGAGUAUAGAUCUUGUUCUAAAUAGUUUAAAGAAUUUUCUAACCAAAAUUCAAUUGAUUUGGAUAGCUUUACACCGUUAAACAAGAAAAGGCCUUAUAUCGACCAUUAAAAUUACAAAUUUUGAAACCCUUUGAUCAUUAGGUCAAUGACGUCAAAAAGAUUUGAAAUUUGAUUUCUAGAUACUUCAAGUAAUAUAGAUCAUGUUCAACGGUGCCGAUCGUUGAUUUGAAGUCUUCAUCAUGGAAAACAAAUGGGUGACAACGGAGUCCGUUUGCUACCGAUAGCAUUCCAGCUCAACUCUAUAUAU